Molecule: ribosomal RNA, 111 nt
Filed under: Escherichia coli O145:H34
Lineage: Bacteria; Pseudomonadati; Pseudomonadota; Gammaproteobacteria; Enterobacterales; Enterobacteriaceae
Source: RNAcentral
UGGCGACCUUAGCGCGGUGGUCCCACCUGACCCCAUGCCGAACUCAGAAGUGAAACGCCGUAGCGCCGAUGGUAGUGUGGGGUCUCCCCAUGCGAGAGUAGGGAACUGCCA